RNAcentral lists this ribosomal RNA (292 nucleotides) under uncultured Verrucomicrobiota bacterium. RNAcentral describes it as "uncultured Verrucomicrobia bacterium partial 16S ribosomal RNA". The record is from RNAcentral. Lineage: Bacteria; Pseudomonadati; Verrucomicrobiota.
GGACUACCCGGGUAUCUAAUCCCGUUUGCUCCCCUGGCCUUCGUGCCUCAGCGUCAGUAACUGUCCAGAGAUUCGCCUUCGCCACUGGUCUUCCUUACGAUAUCUACGCAUUUCACUGCUACACCGUAAAUUCCAAUCUCCUCUCCAGUACUCUAGCAAGGCAGUAUCAAAUGCAGUUUCGGAGUUGAGCCCCGAGAUUUCACACCUGACUUGCCCCGCCGCCUACGCACCCUUUACGCCCAAUGAAUCCGAACAACGCUUGAGACCUCUGUAUUACCGCGGCUGCUGGCAC